RNAcentral lists this ribosomal RNA (335 nucleotides) under uncultured soil bacterium. RNAcentral describes it as "bacterial SSU rRNA". It matches the Rfam family "Bacterial small subunit ribosomal RNA", at positions 26 to 389 of the family's 1533-position model. The record is from RNAcentral.
AGAACGAACGCUGGCGGCAUGCCUAAUACAUGCAAGUCGAACGAACACUUCGGUGUUAGUGGCGCACGGGUGCGUAACGCGUGGGAAUCUGCCCUUGGGUUCGGAACAACAGUUGGAAACGACUGCUAAUACCGGAUGAUGACGAAAGUCCAAAGAUUUAUCGCCCAGGGAUGAGCCCGCGUAGGAUUAGCUAGUUGGUGAGGUAAAGGCUCACCAAGGCGACGAUCCUUAGCUGGUCUGAGAGGAUGAUCAGCCACACUGGGACUGAGACACGGCCCAGACUCCUACGGGAGCAGCAGUAGGGAAUAUUGGACAAUGGGCGACAAACCUGAUCC